Molecule: small nuclear RNA, 160 nt
Organism: Artibeus jamaicensis (Jamaican fruit-eating bat)
Lineage: Eukaryota; Metazoa; Chordata; Mammalia; Chiroptera; Phyllostomidae
Product: U1 spliceosomal RNA
Exons: 1
Source: RefSeq, a predicted model, not a curated record
AUGCUUCCCUGGCAGGGGAGGCGCCCUGAUCACGAGGGCAGUUUUCCCAGGGUGGGGCCUGUCCACCGCAUCCAGGUGAGCUGACCCCUCCGCUUCCCCAGCCGUGGGAAACUGACAGCAUCACUUGUGGUAGUGGGCAGCUGUGCUUGCACUCUCCCCC